Long non-coding RNA from Carassius auratus (goldfish), 219 nucleotides. RefSeq lists it as uncharacterized. Lineage: Eukaryota; Metazoa; Chordata; Actinopteri; Cypriniformes; Cyprinidae. The record is from RefSeq and is a predicted model, not a curated record. The transcript has 3 exons.
CAAAAAGAUAUGCAGACAUAAUGGAAAUGGCAUUUACAUUGUAGAGAUUGGACAAAGUUCACACAGGCUCUGCGCAGGAAUUCAUCAAGGACAUGACUGCUGGGAUUACGCUUGUGGAUGACCAAACUGAGCACCAUCAGCCUGCAGUGAUGUGAUCCAGCCAUCAAGUGACAUUAAGGAUGUUGAGAAAGAAAUUGAAGAGGGCAUUCUGAUUGUAAC